RNAcentral lists this transfer RNA (69 nucleotides) under Diatrichalus mancus. RNAcentral's name for it is "tRNA-Phe". Lineage: Eukaryota; Metazoa; Arthropoda; Insecta; Coleoptera; Lycidae. The record is from RNAcentral.
UAUUUUAAUAGCUUAUUAAAUAAAGCAUAAUAUUGAAGAUAUUAAGAAGAUAGAUUUAUCUUAAAAUAU